CUGAUCAGCCAUGCCGCGUGUGUGAAGAAGGCCUUAUGGUUGUAAAGCACUUUAAGCGAGGAGGAGGCUACUCUAGUUAAUACCUAGGGAUAGUGGACGUUACUCGCAGAAUAAGCACCGGCUAACUCUGUGCCAGCAGCCGCGGUAAUACAGAGGGUGCGAGCGUUAAUCGGAUUUACUGGGCGUAAAGCGUGCGUAGGCGGCUUAUUAAGUCGGAUGUGAAAUCCCCGAGCUUAACUUGGGAAUUGCAUUCGAUACUGGUGAGCUAGAGUAUGGGAGAGGAUGGUAGAAUUCCAGGUGUAGCGGUGAAAUGCGUAGAGAUCUGGAGGAAUACCGAUGGCGAAGGCAGCCAUCUGGCCUAAUACUGACGCUGAGGUACGAAAGCAUGGGGAGCAAACAGGAUUAGAUACCCUGGUAGUCCAUGCCGUAAACGAUGUCUACUAGCCGUUGGGGCCUUUGAGGCUUUAGUGGCGCAGCUAACGCGAUAAGUAGACCGCCUGGGGAGUACGGUCGCAAGACUAAAACUCAAAUGAAUUGACGGGGGCCCGCACAAGCGGUGGAGCAUGUGGUUUAAUUCGAUGCAACGCGAAGAACCUUACCUGGCCUUGACAUACUAGAAACUUUCCAGAGAUGGAUUGGUGCCUUCGGGAAUCUAGAUACAGGUGCUGCAUGGCUGUCGUCAGCUCGUGUCGUGAGAUGUUGGGUUAAGUCCCGCAACGAGCGCAACCCUUUUCCUUACUUGCCAGCAUUUCGGAUGGGAACUUUAAGGAUACUGCCAGUGACAAACUGGAGGAAGGCGGGGACGACGUCAAGUCAUCAU
RNAcentral lists this ribosomal RNA (820 nucleotides) under Acinetobacter baumannii. Its description in RNAcentral is "bacterial SSU rRNA". It matches the Rfam family "Bacterial small subunit ribosomal RNA", at positions 383 to 1196 of the family's 1533-position model. Lineage: Bacteria; Pseudomonadati; Pseudomonadota; Gammaproteobacteria; Moraxellales; Moraxellaceae. The record is from RNAcentral.